RNAcentral lists this long non-coding RNA (303 nucleotides) under Manihot esculenta (cassava). RNAcentral describes it as "long non-coding RNA (MESC_LNC012551)". Lineage: Eukaryota; Viridiplantae; Streptophyta; Magnoliopsida; Malpighiales; Euphorbiaceae. The record is from RNAcentral.
GACUGGGAGCGACGAUCACUCUUCGUCCAAUAGUUUCACUUCCCUUCCUGAAGAAGCGGGUGACGUAAGAUGAACAGUGAGUGAGUGAGUCAUCACUACCCCUGGAACAAGUUGCUGGAACUGAGAGUAGUGACUAGUGAGUACUGAUGUUUCGUCUCUCGCAUUUCUCUCUAUUCGGCUGAAAUUUUUCUCACUUCCACUAGUACAGCUAGUGCUUCCUCUUCCGCGAGACAACAAUUCCUCUCUUCCAUUUCAGUUCCGGAUACUUCUUUGCUUCCUGAUUUAGGAAAAAUGACGGAUNNN